Trichosurus vulpecula (common brushtail) is the source of this 1172-nucleotide long non-coding RNA. RefSeq lists it as uncharacterized. The record is from RefSeq and is a predicted model, not a curated record. NCBI's taxonomy places the organism in Eukaryota, Metazoa, Chordata, Mammalia, Diprotodontia, Phalangeridae. The transcript is spliced from 3 exons.
AGUUCUUUUCUACGGAGGCUUCUUGCUCGACUCAAAGGCAAGGGGGCUCGAGCGCUUCCCACCACUCUGGGCUUUUUGCUUUGUUUUGUCUUGUUUUUCCUGGAUACGUGGAUCCUUGUCACUUCUGUCUUUUUUGUCGUGAGGAGUCUUCUGGGGAGACAUCUGAGGGUCUAGUGGAAUGCCCUGGGAAGGGGCCCAGGCUGCAGCUUCAGCUCGGUCUUGUGGCCCUCUCUGGCCUACAUCUAGGACUCUGAGCUGUGAGAAAUCUUUGUUUCAUCUCGCCCACUGCCCAUUCCAUCGCAGCCUUUUUUACGACAAACAACACGCCUCAAACUCAGAAGAGAUUCCGCCCUCCCCGUCUCCGUGUCCGUUUGCUGAAGCCUGUCCUUGUCUCAGACGUCAUCUCCUCCAUGGACUAGUCGCUCCUCAGAUUUCUCCUAGCAUUCAGCCCGGCCUACCUUUGUCUCUAUCACCUUCUACUCUGGAUUGCAUUCAUCGCUGCGCUGGGUCUAUUAGUCUGGAAGCUUCAUCAUCAUAAUUGUCAUUAUUAGAACUACAGCUAGCCGCCUGCAUGUUACUUUAAUGUCUCAUUUUACCCUUAUUAUCUCUAGUUUACAGAUGAGGAAGCUGAGGCUGACUCGUCCAGAGCCAUACAAUCAGUUAAGCAUCUGAGGCAGGAUUUGAACUCAGGUCUUCCUGACUCCAGGUCCUGCACCACAUCCAUGCACCAUCUAGCUGCUUGAGUCAGACAUGGAAUGGUGAGGGAAUGUGAAGACCAUAGAGUCAGUUUAUGGCAGAGCCCAGAGAAGAACAGAGGCCUCCUGACAGCCAGCACUCUUCAUCAUGGGAUAGUAAUCAGCUCUCCUCUCAAGAUGAGAGCCAGCAAAAGCAAGUCGGACAACUGAGGCAACGCCAAGAAGUGGCUGAAAAGCCUGGAUGGGCCACAGUGAAGGAAGCAGGAGAUGGAACAAAGGAAGGCCACACCCCUUAUCCCAUGCUUUUCCAUGUUCUUCAGCUGCCUGCCCACAAGAUCAUCCCCACUCUCACAAUCUUUUAUUUCUCCCUAAUUAUUGGGUCUUUCCCUGCUGCCUAUGAACAUGCCCAAGUCUCCACAAUCCUUUCUAGAUCUUACCAUUCCUUUUUUUAAAAAAAAUUUAUUUUAUUAAAUAUUC